RNAcentral lists this microRNA (22 nucleotides) under Rosa chinensis. RNAcentral's name for it is "sRNA RchiOBHm_Chr5g0011205". Lineage: Eukaryota; Viridiplantae; Streptophyta; Magnoliopsida; Rosales; Rosaceae. The record is from RNAcentral.
GUUAGUUCCUACUGUUCAUCUC